GAUGAACGCUGGCGGCGUGCCUAAUACAUGCAAGUCGAGCGAACAGACGAGGAGCUUGCUCCUCUGACGUUAGCGGCGGACGGGUGAGUAACACGUGGAUAACCUACCUAUAAGACUGGGAUAACUUCGGGAAACCGGAUCUAAUACCGGAUAAUAUAUUGAACCGCAUGGUUCAAUAGUGAAAUACGGUUUUGCUGUCACUUAUAGAUGGAUCCGCGCCGCAUUAGCUGGUUGGUAAGGUAACGGCUUACCAAGGCAACGAUGCGUAGCCGACGUGAGAGGGGGAUCGGCCACACUGGAACGGAGACACGGUCCAGACUCCUACGAGAGGCAGCAGUAGGGAAUCUUCCGCAAUGGGCGAAAGCUUGACGGAGCGACGACGCGUGAGUGAUGAAGGUCUUCGGAUCGUAAAACUCUGUUAUUAGGGAAGAACAAAUGUGUAAGUAACUAUGCACGUCUUGACGGUACCUAAUCAGAAAGCCACGGCUAACUACGUG
RNAcentral lists this ribosomal RNA (497 nucleotides) under uncultured bacterium. Its description in RNAcentral is "partial 16S ribosomal RNA". It matches the Rfam family "Bacterial small subunit ribosomal RNA", at positions 28 to 507 of the family's 1533-position model. The record is from RNAcentral.